GAUGAACGCUGGCGGCGUGCCUAAUACAUGCAAGUAGAACGCUGAAGCUUGGUGCUUGCACCGAGCGGAAGAGUUGCGAACGGGUGAGUAACGCGUAGGUAACCUGCCUCUUAGCGGGGGAUAACUAUUGGAAACGAUAGCUAAUACCGCAUAACAGUCGGCAUUGCAUGAUGUUGAUUUGAAAGGUGCAAUUGCAUCACUAAGAGAUGGACCUGCGUUGUAUUAGCUAGUUGGUGAGGUAACGGCUCACCAAGGCGACGAUACAUAGCCGACCUGAGAGGGUGAUCGGCCACACUGGGACUGAGACACGGCCCAGACUCCUACGGGAGGCAGCAGUAGGGAAUCUUCGGCAAUGGGGGCAACCCUGACCGAGCAACGCCGCGUGAGUGAAGAAGGUUUUCGGAUCGUAAAGCUCUGUUGUAAGAGAAGAACGAGUGUGAGAGUGGAAAGUUCACACUGUGACGGUAACUUACCAGAAAGGGACGGCUAACUACGUGCCAGCAGCCGCGGUAAUACGUAGGUCCCGAGCGUUAUCCGGAUUUAUUGGGCGUAAAGCGAGCGCAGGCGGUUAGAUAAGUCUGAAGUUAAAGGCUGUGGCUUAACCAUAGUACGCUUUGGAAACUGUCAAACUUGAGUGCAGAAGGGGAGAGUGGAAUUCCACGUGUAGCGGUGAAAUGCGUAGAUAUAUGGAGGAACACCGGUGGCGGAAGCGGCUCUCUGGUCUGUAACUGACGCUGAGGCUCGAAAGCGUGGGGAGCGAACAGG
RNAcentral lists this ribosomal RNA (765 nucleotides) under uncultured Streptococcus sp. Its description in RNAcentral is "bacterial SSU rRNA". It matches the Rfam family "Bacterial small subunit ribosomal RNA", at positions 28 to 776 of the family's 1533-position model. The record is from RNAcentral. Lineage: Bacteria; Bacillati; Bacillota; Bacilli; Lactobacillales; Streptococcaceae.